Long non-coding RNA from Sinocyclocheilus anshuiensis, 347 nucleotides. RefSeq lists it as uncharacterized. The transcript has 3 exons. The record is from RefSeq and is a predicted model, not a curated record. Lineage: Eukaryota; Metazoa; Chordata; Actinopteri; Cypriniformes; Cyprinidae.
UUCUGACAGACUGCCGUCUCUUGUCAAUAGUUUCUGAAAGAUAUAAAAAACGUAAUUAUCAAACAAGGAUCAGCCCGUGUCACAUCCACAAAAAAAUCGGAAACAUCACCUCCGAUAUGAAUACAGGUAACAGUAUGUCAGUGAGUACAGCCAUAUUUUAUGGCAAGGUAAAGAAGAAAAGGACAGAACUGGCUCUUCCUGCAGAUGAAAGUGAGGAUGAGAUAGGAUUUAGUGACCAUGAGAAUGAUGUGGAUUGGACAGUUGAUGAAAGCAGUGAUGGAGACAUUUCAGCAGAUGAAGAGCUGCAGUUUGAGGCUGAAGAGGGAAUCGUGCCAGCAACAGGAGAG